GCGUUUGUGAAAUGAUCUUUAUGAGCCGAUGCAAUGGUGAGAUGCUCGGGUACUGCCCUCCGAAGGCAGGGGUUGCUGGUUCGAUCCCAGCCGGGCGCGCCA
RNAcentral lists this transfer RNA (102 nucleotides) under Burkholderia pseudomallei. RNAcentral's name for it is "tRNA-Arg". Lineage: Bacteria; Pseudomonadati; Pseudomonadota; Betaproteobacteria; Burkholderiales; Burkholderiaceae. The record is from RNAcentral.